This 660-nucleotide ribosomal RNA is filed under the name Triticum aestivum (bread wheat). Its description in RNAcentral is "partial small subunit ribosomal RNA". The record is from RNAcentral. Lineage: Eukaryota; Viridiplantae; Streptophyta; Magnoliopsida; Poales; Poaceae.
AUGGAUGGGCUUCUGCAUUGGGACUUCUCCCCCGGCCUUGCGGAAACGGCUCAGGUGCGUCGUCGCUUUGGAUUUACCGUUCACUUCUCAAACUCUGGUACGACCAAGGAAUUAUUCUUGGUUGUUAGCUUCUCCUCGGCCUCCUUCCCUCUCAAUGAAGAAUCGGUGGCCAUUGCAUUACAAUGUUGCAUUAAUGGUUUGCCCACGGGACUACAUGUCCAUCAUUUGGAGGGCAGAAAGUUUCAGUUCUCAGUUGCUUCUAAUCGUGUUGGUCAUUUCAUCUAUGGGCUUAAGUAUAGAGUAUGGCCGGAUUUUGUAUGGCAUUUCAGUCUCUUCCGACCAGCCAUUCAUGUACCCACGGAAAACCCAUUGACUUGGCACCUGGAUCAAACCAACCAUGAAGUCAUGGUUAGAUCUCCUGUAGCAGUCAAAACGCAUUAUCUAUCUGCUCGUGAGGUUGGAGGUGUUGAUGCAGCAUCCUUGGAGACUCUUUCAAAAGUGGGUUUUUCGCCGUCCACCGAUCGGACAUGUGCUAUGACGGUGACGGCUAGCCGACAGCCGCCGGCGAGCCAACAUGAUCCACCUGAUUUGGGACAUUUACUAACAUAUAAUGAGCAUUUAUUGCAAAAAUUCCUUGGUCUUCGGAGCAAUUCAAAUUAA